GUGCUUGCUUUGGGGGCACACAUACUAAAACUGGAACAAUAUGGAGAAUAUUAGCAUGGUUCAUGCAUGAGGAUGAAGCUCGAAUUCAUGAAGUGUUCUUUUUUUUC
Peromyscus maniculatus bairdii (prairie deer mouse) is the source of this 107-nucleotide small nuclear RNA. The record is from Ensembl. Lineage: Eukaryota; Metazoa; Chordata; Mammalia; Rodentia; Cricetidae.